AUGUCAGCGUUGGAGAAGGAAUGUGAUUUGAGGAAAGUGACGGUGGUGAGGAUAUCUGGAUCUUGGAAAACAGUGUAUUCGAUGCGUUUAAGUUGGAACACUUCUCAGUCAAUCCAAGGUAUGCUAAAUCACGUCAGACUCUAUUUCUCUUUCAUUUCUUUUUCUGAGUCCGCCUUCUUUUUGUUCUUCCCGUUUCUGAAUUUGAGCUAUGUGUUUAUCUUGUCUGUAAUUUGUGUUGUUAUUUUCCACUGUUCGUAUGGUUGGUAA
Non-coding RNA from Vicia faba (fava bean), 267 nucleotides. Lineage: Eukaryota; Viridiplantae; Streptophyta; Magnoliopsida; Fabales; Fabaceae. The record is from the annotation of a GenBank genome assembly.